AUAAAGCUAUCAAUUGAUUUUGCAGCACACACUUUGCAGACCAGAAGGCAGUGGCAUGAUAUAUUCAAAGUGCUGAAAGGAAAAACCCUGAAAUCAAGAG
Molecule: long non-coding RNA, 100 nt
Organism: Lynx canadensis (Canada lynx)
Lineage: Eukaryota; Metazoa; Chordata; Mammalia; Carnivora; Felidae
Exons: 3
Source: RefSeq, a predicted model, not a curated record